Molecule: long non-coding RNA, 590 nt
Organism: Zalophus californianus (California sea lion)
Lineage: Eukaryota; Metazoa; Chordata; Mammalia; Carnivora; Otariidae
Exons: 2
Source: RefSeq, a predicted model, not a curated record
GGUAGUGCCUGAUCCAGACCCCUCUCCCACCUCUGGUAGUGGGGCCGGUGACCCGGGGAGCUCCCGGGCUUGUGGACACAGCGCUCCGACUUCUGACUCUGUUGACACAUGGUCUUCUCCCAGGGGCAUGUCUUAGCUGAAAUUUCCUGCUCUUACAAGGACAUCCUCAUGUUGGCUUAGGGUCCACCCCACUUCACUGAUCACAUAUGCAAAGACCCCAGUUCCAAACAAGGUCACAUUCCAGGGACCCAGAGUUUGGGCUUGAAAAUACCAUUGUGGGAAGAUAGUUCAAGGCCCCAUGUUUCUGCAGAUCCGUUUUUCUCUAGUGGCUUCCUGAAGAUAACACCUAAGCCCAUGGAAACGUCAGAAUGCCCAGAAGUAACCGUCUCUGCAGCAGACCAAAACGAAGACCAGAUUUCAUGGCAGACGAGACUUCCCCAUCUCACCUCAGAGCCCGGUGACGGUCCGUGGCUGCUCUCAGUGGAGUGGAGAUGCUGCUGUAGCGGGUGUCCUAACCGGUGGGGGAGGUGGGAAGGAUGAAGAUCCAGGAGACUGGAGUUUGCUCAGUUAAUAGAUGCACCAAGAACCUA